UGGGUGCACCCAAGGCUGCCAAAGCCGCCAUCACGUGCAGCGACGUGGUGAGCCACUUGAUCCCGUGCUUGUCCUACGUACAAAACGGCGGUACACCCGCUGCUGCAUGCUGCAGUGGGGUAAAAACACUCUACGGCCAGGCUCAGACCUCCCCGGACCGCCAAGACGUGUGCAAGUGCAUCAAAUCGGCGGUGAACGGAAUGCCUUACACCGGCUAUAACCUCAAUCUCGCAGCCGGCCUACCUGCUAAAUGUGGUCUCCAUCUUCCUUACAACAUCAGCCCCUCCACUGACUGCAACAAG
RNAcentral lists this long non-coding RNA (302 nucleotides) under Gossypium barbadense (sea-island cotton). RNAcentral's name for it is "long non-coding RNA (GBAR_LNC019558)". Lineage: Eukaryota; Viridiplantae; Streptophyta; Magnoliopsida; Malvales; Malvaceae. The record is from RNAcentral.